Molecule: long non-coding RNA, 478 nt
Filed under: Mytilus galloprovincialis (Mediterranean mussel)
Lineage: Eukaryota; Metazoa; Mollusca; Bivalvia; Mytilida; Mytilidae
Source: RNAcentral
UUGAUGGUUGUUUUACGUUCAGUGGCAAAUAGUUCAUGCAUGUUCGGGACAAUACAAUACAAGCUCAGUAAGUCGGACAAACAGUGCAAAUUGUAUGCAAAAUUUCACAAAGUUCAACAGUGUCAUUUGUGGAAAAUUAUUUACGAAACAAAUCUUGAGAUCAUACAUGCAUUCUUUAAGUAAAACAAACUGCAAAUGCGAAAUAUAAAAGGUUCAGCUUGAAAUUCCACAUGUAGGAGAUGUAAGCCGGAGUCUGCGUGCCUUUUAUAUUUUAUCAAAACGUCUAAUCCAGCAACCUGUCAUGAACAAAAAAUAAAGGAAACCAAGACGAAAUGCGCACCUUUAAUAUGAGUACAUUUUUGGUAACACCAGGUACAUAAUUUAAACCUGAAGCAAAAAGACAGCACUCAGUCCUUAAUAAUAAGCCGUAUAAACCCUAUAUGUAUACACCAAGUGCGCGAUUGACGGUAGAACGGAC